AUGAUCUUCACUCGCGCCUUUUUUUGCUUGCGCUUGGUCAUACACCCCCUCGUCUAUCUCCUCCACCUCAGCUUCACCACCGUCCAUGCCACCAUCCAUUUCAUUCCAAAUCUCGCUGGUGAGGUCGUCCUCCACACCACGGCCGGCGAUUUCCCCCCACACACGACCACCUCUCAUCCGCAGCUCCAGCUAUUCUCCCAGCGCGCCGUUUCCAGCACCAGCAAUCCCCCAGCUCCGACAGACGAGCUGCAUAGCUUCGACGGCGAGGCACACCCCACGACACAGGGGAUGCUGAAACCGGCGUCUAAUUUUGCUGCAACCGACAAAUCCAGAGCUGGAACCAGCAUCUUGAAAAAAGCUGCAACUGGAUAUGAGGUAGUUGGGGGUCGGCAUCUCGCAGCGACAAAAAGCUGCAACCGGCUUGGAGGAAAGCUACAACGCGCUUCUAAAAAAGCUUCAAACCGAGAACGGCUAGCUAACAAUGGUGAGCGGCGGCGACGGAGCUGCAUGGCGCGCGGUGCUGCGACGGGCACGCGGCGAGCUAUGAUGGCGGACUGCGACAAUGCUGGAACCCUCACCCGGCGGUGCUGCAACCAGAGGGAGGGAGACACGCCCGGCCCGAUGGAGCUGCAUACGGCGAACGCCCCAGGUGAGCUGCAACGGCGAGCAGCCCCGGCGAGCUGCGACGGCGAGCGGCCCCGGAAGAAGAAGCCGGGCGGCGAUUCGUUUUUUUUUUUACCUGGAUCCAACGACCCGCACGGCUCACAUCCAACGCCCGGGCUAGACCGGCCGAAACUUUCGGCCGGCGCACCGGCGCCUAUCAGCGCCCGUAAUAUAUCGCAGCGGACGAGCUUUACACCGUUUCGAGCGCAAGCAUGUCCCGCACGAUUUAUCUACCACUUGUCGAUCCUACAUGCAAGUGGCACCACCACCCCCAACACCCGGCGCCGCCAAUCCUUCUCCCGCUCCCCCUCCGUCGUCCCGUGCUUCCUCUCUUGCUAUAGUCCCCUCAAAAUGUCCCGCAAAAAUGAUGUGUGGUAUCUAUGCAUGUUGCUCAUGUUGGUCAAGUGGGCUUGGAAGAUUCAUGGGAGGAGUUUAGUGACAUCAAUAGGAUGCAUGAGCACCAUAUGCAUUGUCUCUGCCCAGCCCAAUGUGCUUCCAAAAACAAAGCAGACACCCCUCAAGCUGCGCUGCUUCGUCCGCACCUUUGUCGCAGAGAAGUUUCCUCUUCUUCCUGGUGCCCUAGCUCGAGGUAGGGCUGCCGCCUUGCCGCGCCACCGCCGACCCCAGGAGCCCUCACCUGCACCUUGCCGCCUCCGACUCCAACGCGGCAUCGCGUCGCCCCCGCCCGCGGCGAUCUUCUUCGACAUUGGUUCUCGAGGGAAUCCAUUCUGUGGAAGAAGAGCUACCAAUCCCCCAUAUGGAAAGCAUGCCAAUGAUACCCCUUAUGGAAUGGAAGGCCCGCUAAUGAUUCACCACAUCGAAGACUUGCCAUUGAUCCAACACAUAUUAGUUUCUAAAGCAAGAGAAAAUCCUAGUGGAAGUCCAUUUGCUACCAACGCUCCACGAUGUGCUUCUUACGACAGAUAUGCAGUAUCUGCUCGCUUUCCUACUAGAGAAAUACCCUUGCCUGCUUGUCCCAUUGUUCCUAUCGUGACCAUAUGCCUACUGAUAGCUCCUCUAGAGCUGGGAACAAUUCAAGUUUCAUUCUCUUCAGCUGUCAGACAGAUAUAUGGACAUGAUGAUUAUCAUAAGACUGGCAGGCGUUACAAGCGGAGAUCCGCCAGCCAGACCUCUGGUGCAAGAAUGAAGUUACUUGCAGCCCAUUCUGGCUGUCCGCCGGAAUACAUCAUAUGGAGAUUCAACGGUAUUGCCGGACCAAUUGAGAGAGGCACAAAGUCUCUGCAACCAGAACGGGCAGCCAUCACAGCCUUCUCGCGGCGUCCAUUGCCCAAGGUGGAACUACAUCCUAGUCUUGUGGUGGAGAACAACAGAGGAUGCAACUCCGGGAUGCAAGCGCUCUAUACUCGUUGUACAUGGAACCUGGAUGCUUACAAUAUGAGCACGCAAACACAACACCAGGAAUUUUCGUCAUUUCACUGGAGAGAGCCAUGGUGGAAAGCACAAUCAGCACUAGUUCUAUCAAGUAUAUCCGACUUACGGAUCACAUGGACCUUCAACGUGAGACUAAGCGUGUCCGUCAGUUCGAAGAGGCAGAUGUCAUCUUUCUCCAGCCCGACAUCUGAUAUGAAUUUCGCCCACUCAUUGUGGAUCCGCCAAGUCUUUUCAUGUUUCGUGAAGCCCAACCUGCACUUCGAAACCUCCCGUCGCCCUCCAGCAGGAGGUGGAGGCGUCCUGGUUUGGUCAGGAGACACGCCCAAGCGUAAUCCCCGGUCAGUACAAGGGAGGGAUGUUGAAGCCAUCUCCCGAGCCUUGCUAGAUUUUCUCGUGUCUUCUCCCACGACUCCAUCGUCGUCAUCAGAACUGCUCGAGAAGAACUGUAGGGGUGGAUCAUCACACAUCUCUUGGGUGCUAGAACGAUUUCUCAUGGCCCGUCAGGUCGAGGAAGUGAACUCUGAGGCAGCCUUCCCCCUUGCUGAAAAUGAGGAGGUCCUUCUCUUUUAUGCGGUGACUUCCCUAGCCUCCCGGGUCGCUUCAGGCGACUCCGGAGGCACCGUCGCGGCCACCCCGGAGGCCCUCCCACGUAGCGUCGUUCACCACGCCGCGCCGUCCAUGGCUUGCCUCCCGGUCUGGCACAUCCAAAUGGAGUCCAUGGCCUGGAAUGGUCGGCGGCCGUCCAGGCUGCCGCCUAGCUGCAGCACAUGGUCAUGGCUGCUUGGAGUCUUCCUCCGCAGUGGCAUGGCCGGGAAUUGGAUAUGGCGGCGGCCUCGCUGUGGAUUACGGUCCCCAUCAAAAGAUUUUUUUGAGAGUUUCAUCUCCGUAGAUCUGGUGGUUGAUUUCGGCGGCGAGAUACAAACUAUGGAUGAAGUUUAUGCAGAGGGAUGGUUGUGCGGCGGCGGUGGUCACAUCGCAUCACCCGGUCUUGAGAUCCGGGAUGAAAGCCUAGGUCUGACCCAACUUGGGUCUACCUGGCAAUGGCGAUGCUUUUACAUCGUUACCUUGUUGAAGGCAUUGUUCGGAAUGUUCGGACUGAUUCUUCAGGGUGAAAACCUAGAUUGUAGCCUUGGGUGGCUGGAUUCGGUGACGGUGGCACUUGAGUGUCGCUCCCUUCCUGAAGGCGUUGCUGGUGAAGAACCUCGUCGUCAGAGUGGUGUCAUGAGAUGGUCGGUGCAGAUAUGGUCAUUGUUAUAG
This 3312-nucleotide ribosomal RNA is filed under the name Triticum aestivum (bread wheat). RNAcentral's name for it is "partial small subunit ribosomal RNA". The record is from RNAcentral. Lineage: Eukaryota; Viridiplantae; Streptophyta; Magnoliopsida; Poales; Poaceae.